GGUUUGAUCAUGGCUCAGAUUGAACGCUGGCGGGAUGCUUUACACAUGCAAGUCGAACGGCAGCACGGACUUCGGUCUGGUGGCGAGUGGCGAACGGGUGAGUAAUGUAUCGGAACGUGCCUAGUAGCGCGGAUAACUACGCGAAAGGUGGAAGCACACGUAUGCUAUUCUUCGGGGGAAAGCGGGGGGACCUUCGGGCCUCGCACUAUUAGAGCGGUCAGAUAUCGGAUUAGCUAGUUGGUGGGGUAACGGCUCACUAAGGCGACGAUCCGUAGCUGGUUUGAGAGGACGACCAGCCACACUGGGACUGAGACACGGCCCAGACUCCUACGGGAGGCAGCAGUGGGGGAAUUUUGGACAAUGGGAAACCCUGAUCCAGCCAUCUGGGCGUGCAGUGAUGAUGAAGGCCUUCGGGUUGUAAAAGCACUUUUGGCAGGAAAGAAACGGCACGGAUAAUAAUCGUGCAACUGACGGUACCUGCAGAAUAAGCACCGGCUAACUACGUGCCAGCAGCCGCGGUAAUACGUGAAGUAAGCGUUAAUCGGAAUUACUGGGCGUAAGCGUGCGCAGGCGGUUCGGAAAGAAAGAUGUGAAAUCCCAGAGCUUAACUUUGGAACUGCAUUUUUAACUACCGAGCUAGAGUGUGUCAGGAGGGAGGUGGAAUUCCGCGUGUAGCAGUGAAUGUGAUAUGCGGAGGAACACCGAUGGCGAAGGCAGCCUCCUGGGAUAACACUGACGCUCAUGCACGAAAGCGUGGGGAGCAAACAGGAUUAGAUACUCCUGGUAGUCCAUUCUAAACGAUGUCAACUAGCUGUUAGCCUUCGGGCCCGGUAGCGCAGCUAACGCGGUGAAGUUGACCGCCUGGGGAGUACGGUCGCAAGAUUAAAACUCAAAGGAAUUAGACGGGGAACGCACAAGCGGUGGAUGAUGUGGAUUAAUUCGAUGCAACGCGAAAACCUUACCUACCCUUGACAUGUCUGGAAUCCCGAAGAGAUUUGGGAGUGCUCGCAGAGAAACCGAACCAGGUGCUGCAUGGCUGUCGUCAGCUCGUGUCGUGAGAUGUUGGGUUAAGUCCGCAACGAGCGCAACCCUUGUCAUUAGUUGCUAAUAGAAAGGGCACUCGAUGAGACUGCCGGUGACAAACUGGAGGAAGGUGGGGAUGACGUCAAGUCCUCAUGGCCCUUAUGGGAAGGCUUCACACGGCGUACAAUGGUCGGGACAGAGGGUCGCCAACCCGCGAGGGGGAGCCAAUCCCAGAAACCCGAUCGUAGUCCGGAUCGCAGUCUGCAACUCGACUGCGUGAAGUCGGAAUCGCUAGUAAUCGCGGAUCAGCAUGUCGCGGUGAAUACGUUCCGGUCUUGUACACACUGCCCGUCACAUGGGAGUGGGUUUUACCAGAAGUAGUUAGCCUAACCGUGAGGGCGAUUACCACGGUAGGAUUCAUGACUGGGGUGAAGGUAAUGAAGGUAG
This 1470-nucleotide ribosomal RNA is filed under the name uncultured Bordetella sp. Its description in RNAcentral is "partial 16S-23S ribosomal RNA intergenic spacer". It matches the Rfam family "Bacterial small subunit ribosomal RNA". The record is from RNAcentral. Lineage: Bacteria; Pseudomonadati; Pseudomonadota; Betaproteobacteria; Burkholderiales; Alcaligenaceae.